Molecule: long non-coding RNA, 375 nt
Filed under: Bos taurus (domestic cattle)
Lineage: Eukaryota; Metazoa; Chordata; Mammalia; Artiodactyla; Bovidae
Description: long non-coding RNA NONBTAT015859
Source: RNAcentral
AAACUUUGCUUUAGAUUUGUAUCUGUCUACUAAAUUGUCAAUCUAAAGGAUGAUAUACAUUAGUUGUUAUAGAAUAGAAUUUAGAAUAUGUCGGAGUUUGUCUUGGAUCACAUAUAAAAUGAAUUAUUUUCUAGAGUACUGAGAUGAAUAUAAGGCAGUGUCACCCACAUUGAAGAAAAAGUCUUUAUAGACUUAAAGAGUAAUUAGGUUAAUUCAUUAAAAUACCCCUCUAGAUGUAACUAGCGUUGUAUUUCUUAACAUUUUAAAAUCUAGAAUUUCAAAAACAGAAUUUUAGUGCUAUCACAGUUUGAAAGAGGACAUCCAUGUUUUAACCAUAGAAAUUAUAAAGAAAAUUCUAAAAUGACACCUUUCCUC